Molecule: transfer RNA, 89 nt
Filed under: Buchnera aphidicola (Nipponaphis monzeni)
Lineage: Bacteria; Pseudomonadati; Pseudomonadota; Gammaproteobacteria; Enterobacterales; Erwiniaceae
Rfam family: tRNA
About the family: Transfer RNA (tRNA) molecules are approximately 80 nucleotides in length. Their secondary structure includes four short double-helical elements and three loops (D, anti-codon, and T loops).
Source: Rfam by way of RNAcentral
ACCGAGAUGGUGAAAUAGGUAAACACGCUACUUUGAGGAAGUAGUACCUUGAUUAUUAAGGUUUAUGGGUUCAAAUCCCAUUCUCGGUA